This is a non-coding RNA of Pelobates cultripes (western spadefoot toad), 213 nucleotides long. The record is from the annotation of a GenBank genome assembly. Lineage: Eukaryota; Metazoa; Chordata; Amphibia; Anura; Pelobatidae.
GGGGCCAAUACAAACCAUUGUGUGGAAAUCCAUUCACAAACCGGACUUUACAUAGGACACGAGGUCAUGCGUUUAGACUGGAAGAAAGAAGAUUUCGUCUAAGGCAAAGGAAAGGUUUUUUUACUGUAAGAACAAUCAGGAUGUGGAAUUCUCUGCCUGAAGAAGUGGUUUUAUCAGAGUCCAUACAGAUGUUCAAACAGCUACUAGAUGCAU